Molecule: long non-coding RNA, 688 nt
Filed under: Numida meleagris (helmeted guineafowl)
Lineage: Eukaryota; Metazoa; Chordata; Aves; Galliformes; Numididae
Description: lncRNA (ENSNMEG00000017278.1)
Source: RNAcentral
CUGCAUGUGUCCUGACACCUGGAGCUGACUCACUGUAUUUUCUCCUGUGGUACCAGGUAACAGUUGUAGCAAAGAAACUCAUAGAGCAACUAUGGGGCUGCAUGGAGCAAGGAGCUGCUGACUGCUGAACUCCUUAGAAUAUGAACAGACAGCCUCGGGGAUUUGAGGUAAAGGAAGAUUUUGAAGGGCAGCAGGCAGUUGGAGUCAGAGGAAACAAUUUCAGAAUGGUUUGAGGCAGCAGCUGCACUUGUGAUCAGACAGGCUACACCUUGCAGAGCUCUUGGCAUUUUUUCUCAUCUCACUGCAAGACUUUACAGUCUGAGUUCUCCUUCCCAAACCAAGUUGAUCCACACAAGAGAGCUUCUGCUGCUGGACUGUACUGGGUAAGGCAUGGAUGUAAGGUAGGCCCUUUGUGUGGGUGGUACAAUAUUGCUUUUAGUUCAAGCGUGCCGCGUGUUGUUUUGCAAAUACGAUCAUUAGAUAUUUUGUUGUUCUGGUGCCUUAUAAUGAUUUCAAGUCUGACCUGAACAAGUCUUAGCCUUGUUUCUAAUUGAAAUGACACACAUUCAGUGCUUCAGGCCUUGAAACCUCCGGUGUCUUAAAGAGCUCAGUUAAUGUAUGGAAACACGGUAACCUCUGCAUAUGAAGACCACUGUCCUGCUCUAAACAAAAUCCUCCAGAGCUGGUA